UUAAAAAGCUCGUAGUUGGAUUUCUGGAUCGAGCGCUCUGUCCGUCGCUGUGCGAUGCGUACUUGAGUCGUCUCGUUUCAUCCUUGCAGGGAAGCGCGUUCGACAUUUGUUUGUCGACGCGGGGAACUGCAUCUUUUACUGUGAAAAAAUUAGAGUGUUUAAAGCAGGCAUUUUGCUGUGAAUACAUUAAGCAUGGAAUAAUAACAUAGGAACCCUGGUUCUAUUUUGUUGGGUUGGAGGCCAAGGGUAAUGAUUAAU
This 258-nucleotide ribosomal RNA is filed under the name uncultured marine eukaryote. RNAcentral describes it as "partial 18S ribosomal RNA". It matches the Rfam family "Eukaryotic small subunit ribosomal RNA", at positions 619 to 873 of the family's 1831-position model. The record is from RNAcentral.